UUUUAUAGCUGGAAAAGAAUGAAGAACAUGUACAGAAACAAAGUCAGGAAGAGGAUUGGUUGCUUAAGUUACUUUUUUUGUAAGACGGAGAUGGGAGACAGAAUAAAAGAAAACAACUGAUGGAUUCCCAGCAGGUUGUAUCAGGUUAGCUUUUCUGUAUGGGGAUUCAGGCAAACAACUUCCUGAUCAUGCCACUUGAAACCAGUCUGUUUGGAUAAUUUGGUUAGUAUUGCUCUAAUCCUUAUUUCUCAGAAGUUCAACUAAACAGCUCAGCUUCAGCUUGGAGAGAGGUGGAACUGUAGCAAGAGUGGCUCCGAAGUGACUGGCAGCCUGGCAUGAAGGUGCACUGCAGGAGUUUAAGCCAAAAGAACAGCCUCCUACGGCUUCAAGAGAAGAGGCGCCACCUGCGUUAGGACACUGGACUGCAGGUCACUUUGGUAUGAUGACGAGACCAUCAUGAGUCCUUGCACCAUUUUUAACUUGGCCCAGUUCUUACUGUGUGUGCAGCUAGUGUCUUAGCAAACUGCCUGAAGGAGAAAGGGAGGCAACCGGAACUGUCCCCUCAGCUCAGCCCCACAGCCCACCCCAGCACGAGCCCUGACAGGUGCCACAGCCACCACCGGUGGGUAAGCGUGGAUUCACACUGAGUCAUGGGCCACAGGCAGGACAGCAGGCUGGGCUGUUUAUUGCUCUGUUUGUGCAGAGCUCUGGGAUCUUCUCGAACUGACCCCUGGAGGACAGAGGUAAUCUCUGCUAGACUCUUGAGUGCUGAGGUCCAAGGGUGACUGAAAAAGUAACAAAAACCACAAACAGGACAGAACAAUCGGAGAAGCUGCCUGGCCAUCCCAGAACUGCCUUUGUUUUGGGGAUUCCAGUCACUAGGAAUCUAGAGAUGAAAAGAGACUCUGGAGAAUUCCAGUCGGUGCCUCACACGUCAUCAGUACCGCCCAUGCCCCACCUCCCAUCAGAGGUCAUAGAACCCCCUGCCUCUCUGCAUCUGGCCGAAGGAGACGGCCCAGCCGCCAUGGGUUCUGUGCUCCUGUCCACGUCCUCAGUAAACCUGUUCGUUUUGUACUUUUUGCUUCUCUCUUGCACCAGAAUACUCUAACAGUUAAUGGCACUGUAUCUUCUGUGGGAUAAAGUGUUUUAAGCACUCGCCAUCUGUUUCCAUCCCCGUGCACAUGAGUCCCGAGUGUGUAGUAACUGAAGAAUGCACGGCGGAGCCUUCAGAGAGCUUAGCAACCAACUCGGGGAGGUUCUCAAAGAAAACCCACUUUAAUACCUGUACGCGAUUUGUUUCUAGAAAGAUAAAGUUGGAAAAUGAUUGCCAAAAACGUCAUUCA
Molecule: long non-coding RNA, 1343 nt
Filed under: Cavia porcellus (domestic guinea pig)
Lineage: Eukaryota; Metazoa; Chordata; Mammalia; Rodentia; Caviidae
Description: lncRNA (ENSCPOG00000039373.1)
Source: RNAcentral